GGUGGAGAGCAGGAAGGGUGCUGUGCCACGUCCAGGGCCAUGGUCCGCUGGUCCCAGGCCUGACUCCCAUGGCGUCUCAGUGUGGCC
This 87-nucleotide long non-coding RNA is filed under the name Ictidomys tridecemlineatus (thirteen-lined ground squirrel). RNAcentral's name for it is "lncRNA (ENSSTOG00000033210.1)". The record is from RNAcentral. Lineage: Eukaryota; Metazoa; Chordata; Mammalia; Rodentia; Sciuridae.